UAGCGUGCUCGUUUGACGUUAGCUGCAGAAGAAGCACCGGCUAACUCCGUGCCAGCAGCCGCGGUAAUACGGAGGGUGCGAGCGUUAAUCGGAAUUACUGGGCGUAAAGCGCAUGCAGGUGGUUUGUUAAGUCAGAUGUGAAAGCCCCGGGGCUCAACCUCGGAAUUGCAUUUGAAACUGGCAGACUAGAGUACUGUAGAGGGGGGUAGAAUUUCAGGUGUAGCGGUGAAAUGCGUAGAGAUCUGAAGGAAUACCGGUGGCGAAGGCGGCCCCCUGGACAGAUACUGACACUCAGAUGCGAAAGCGUGGGGAGCAAACAGGAUUAGAUACCCUGGUAG
This 338-nucleotide ribosomal RNA is filed under the name uncultured bacterium. RNAcentral describes it as "bacterial SSU rRNA". It matches the Rfam family "Bacterial small subunit ribosomal RNA", at positions 457 to 793 of the family's 1533-position model. The record is from RNAcentral.